UUACAUACCUGGACGGAGUCAAUGGACGAUCAAAAAGGUCCAUGGCCUAGGGGGUUGGUCUCUAUUGCACUUUGGAGAUGCAACUGCCUAAGGUCUCCUCAAGUAGGAGAUCCUACGUCAUAAUUUGUGGUAGCAAGGGGCUUCUGCGUUCGCGCGGCCCCUUU
This is a small nuclear RNA of Mercurialis annua (annual mercury), 164 nucleotides long. RefSeq annotates it as U1 spliceosomal RNA. Lineage: Eukaryota; Viridiplantae; Streptophyta; Magnoliopsida; Malpighiales; Euphorbiaceae. The transcript has a single exon. The record is from RefSeq and is a predicted model, not a curated record.